CCUACGUGAGGCAGCAGUGAGGAAUAUUGGUCAAUGGGCGGGAGCCUGAACCAGCCAAGUAGCGUGAAGGAUGACUGCCCUACGGGUUGUAAACUUCUUUUAUAAAGGAAUAAAGUGAGGCACGUGUGCCUUUUUGUAUGUACUUUAUGAAUAAGGAUCGGCUAACUCCGUGCCAGCAGCCGCGGUAAUACGGAGGAUCCGAUCGUUAUCCGGAUUUAUUGGGUUUAAAGGGAGCGUAGAUGGGUUGUUAAGUCAGUUGUGAAAGUUUGCGGCUCAACCGUAAAAUUGCAAUUGAUACUGGCAGUCUUGAGUACAGUUGAGGUAGGCGGAAUUCGUGGUGUAGCGGUGAAAUGCUUAGAUAUCACGAAGAACUCCGAUUGCGAAGGCAGCUUACUAAACUGCCACUGACAUUGAUGCUCGAAAGUGUGGGUAUCAAACAGGAUUAGAUACCCGUGUAGUC
RNAcentral lists this ribosomal RNA (460 nucleotides) under uncultured bacterium. Its description in RNAcentral is "partial 16S ribosomal RNA". It matches the Rfam family "Bacterial small subunit ribosomal RNA", at positions 338 to 795 of the family's 1533-position model. The record is from RNAcentral.